GUUUUGGCCUGCUUUAAUCUGGAACAUUCCCACAAUUGUUUUUUGGCAUGUAUAAUGUCUACAUUUUUUAAUUGUACAGUUCCUUCCUUUUCUUUUUUUCUUUUUAAAUAGAACAUUCCCCAUUUUGGGUUUAUGAAAUGUUUCCUUAUGGUUAGAUUCAAGAUAUGUAUUCUCAGUUGGGGUGUUACAUGAGUGAUGUAUCCUCAAAGUAUCAUCUCAGAAGGCUCACAUCAUCCAGCUACUUUCCAUUAAUGGUGUUAAAUUUUCUUUUUCUUCCUCUUCUUCCUCCUCCUCCUCUUCUUUUUUUCUGUUGGAUUGUGGUGGUGGUGGUGCUGGUGAUGCUGGUGGGUGAACCCAGGGUCUCAUGCAUGCUGGACAAAUGCUCUAUCACUGAGCUACACACGCAGCCCAAUGAUGUUAAUUUUGAUAAUCUAGUUAGGCUAUAUAGUUUCUCCACUAUUAAGUAUUUCUCCCUCUUGCAAGCAAAAAAUGUGGUGAAACCCUUUAACACUAUGCAAAUAGUUUGCUCAUUAAAAAUUUGCCCUAGAUUUAGUAUCCAUGGGUAAUUCUUUGCUCACUGAAUGUUUGGUAUGAUGGUUGUUUAGACUUUGUUUGCCUUUCCCUCUAUUCCACCAAAGACUGGAAUUGUGUAGUAAAAUACUGUGUUACAUCUUGGGUUCUUUCUUUAGUUAUUGGUAUUAAUUUGAAAUCGGGUUGAGUUUAUUUGUUUCAUUUUUGCUUUCAGCUUUAGCUGUCCUUUUCCAUCCUUUUGGAUUUAAUUUAGUUUUUUGAAUGUGUAGAAUAUUAACAUGCUUCCAAAACCUAAACUAAAAGAACAGAAAUGAAUUUCUUAC
This 854-nucleotide long non-coding RNA is filed under the name Marmota monax (woodchuck). Lineage: Eukaryota; Metazoa; Chordata; Mammalia; Rodentia; Sciuridae. The record is from RNAcentral.